UAUAAUGCAGUCGAGCGGACAGAAGGGAGCUUGCUCCCGGAUGUUAGCGGCGGACGGGUGAGUAACACGUGGGUAACCUGCCUGUAAGACUGGGAUAACUCCGGGAAACCGGAGCUAAUACCGGAUAGUUCCUUGAACCGCAUGGUUCAAGGAUGAAAGACGGUUUCGGCUGUCACUUACAGAUGGACCCGCGGCGCAUUAGCUAGUUGGUGAGGUAACGGCUCACCAAGGCGACGAUGCGUAGCCGACCUGAGAGGGUGAUCGGCCACACUGGGACUGAGACACGGCCCAGACUCCUACGGGAGGCAGCAGUAGGGAAUCUUCCGCAAUGGACGAAAGUCUGACGGAGCAACGCCGCGUGAGUGAUGAAGGUUUUCGGAUCGUAAAGCUCUGUUGUUAGGGAAGAACAAGUGCAAGAGUAACUGCUUGCACCUUGACGGUACCUAACCAGAAAGCCACGGCUAACUACGUGCCAGCAGCCGCGGUAAUACGUAGGUGGCAAGCGUUGUCCGGAAUUAUUGGGCGUAAAGGGCUCGCAGGCGGUUUCUUAAGUCUGAUGUGAAAGCCCCCGGCUCAACCGGGGAGGGUCAUUGGAAACUGGGAAACUUGAGUGCAGAAGAGGAGAGUGGAAUUCCACGUGUAGCGGUGAAAUGCGUAGAGAUGUGGAGGAACACCAGUGGCGAAGGCGACUCUCUGGUCUGUAACUGACGCUGAGGAGCGAAAGCGUGGGGAGCGAACAGGAUUAGAUACCCUGGUAGUCCACGCCGUAACGAUGAGUGCUAAGUGUUAGGGGGUUUCCGCCCCUUAGUGCUGCAGCUAACGCAUUAAGCACUCCGCCUGGGGAGUACGGUCGCAAGAC
This 859-nucleotide ribosomal RNA is filed under the name Bacillus altitudinis. RNAcentral describes it as "bacterial SSU rRNA". It matches the Rfam family "Bacterial small subunit ribosomal RNA", at positions 52 to 894 of the family's 1533-position model. The record is from RNAcentral. Lineage: Bacteria; Bacillati; Bacillota; Bacilli; Caryophanales; Bacillaceae.